UGUUGGAUCCUGCAUUUCCUUUUUGAAUUGUCCCAAUUCACAUAAGAUGUCAGGAGAGCCUUGACACAACAGUAAAAGUGGUGGUCCGUCCUUGCUUGGACCUCAUAUAUUAUGGGAGCUUAGAGUACUAGGACUACCCUAUCUUAUUAAUAGGAAUAUGAAUGUCAUUGUAACCUGCAUCUCCUCCUUGGGAAGUCCCAAUUCACAUAAAUAUCAUGUAUCCAACCCCCCAAUCCCGUAGAGAAGAUGUUUCAAUUUGACCAAGAAUCACCUGAUUUUAUGAAAGGAAAAGAAAGCAUUAUGAACUUGAAAAUCCAUUUUAAUCUUUUUCUUUUUCAGAUGUGAAAAGUUGUGGGUAAUACUGUAUUUGCAAUGGAAACUGUAUUUUGUCAGAAUUUAUCUCAGAUUAAAAAGAUUUGUAUUUCCUCAGAGUAUUCGAAAGGUGUUCUGUUGACCUCUAGUUAGGUUUUCUUAGUAUUAGGACUUAGCAUUGAUGAGAAGCGUGUUGUCAUAUGUGUUUUACUCUGUUCAAGGCUUUAAGCAAAUAAAGGCUAACUUUAUCACAUCUUCGCUGAAUGUUAUAUCCUAUUGAAUGGAACUUGAUACUAAUAUUUAUGGCUUCUAUGAGGUUUCACAAUUUCUUGCCCGUCAGAAACAUGCAAAGAAGUAUAUUCUUGUUCAUUGCACACAUGGGCAUAAUCGCACUGGGUUUAUGAUCAUUCAUUAUCUUAUGCGCACGCUGCCAAUAUCUGUCAGUCAGGCAAUUAAAAUUUUUUCUGACGCUCGUCCUCCUGGGAUCUAUAAGCCAGACUAUAUCGAUGCCCUAUAUGCCUUCUAUCAUGAGAAAAAACCUGAAAUGGUUGUUUGUCCACCAACACCUGAGUGGAAAAAAUCUUCUGAGCUUGAUUUGAAUGGUGAUGCAAUGCCAGAUGACGAUGAUGAUGGAGGUCCUGCAGCUCCUUUGACUGACAAUCUUGAAGCACAAGUAGUAACCUCAAAUGAUGACAUUUUGGGAGAUGCAAUCCCACAAGAUCAGCAAAAUCAUUUACGACAGUUCUGUUAUCAAGCACUGAAAAUGACCCCAGGGGGUAGAGGCCCACAAUUUCCUGGCUCACAUCCAGUCUCUCUUGACAGGGAAAACUUGCAGUUAUUAAGGCAGCGUUACUACUAUGCCACUUGGAAGGCUGAUGGGACACGGUAUAUGAUGCUGAUCACGAUGGAUGGUUGUUUCUUAAUUGAUAGGCAUUUCAACUUUCGGAGGGUUCAGAUGAGAUUUCCUUGCAGACACACUAAUGAAGGUUUAGCCGAAAAGACCCACCACUUCACUUUACUUGAUGGAGAGAUGGUAAUUGAUACUUUGCCUGACACACAGAAGCAGGAAAGGAGAUACCUAAUUUAUGAUAUGAUGGCCCUGAACCAUGUGUCUGUCAUCGAGCGACCCUUUUAUGAACGGUGGAGAAUGAUCGACAAAGAAGUGAUUGGUCCAAGGAAUUAUGAACGUCAACAUAUAUACCAGAGUAGAAACCCUUAUUAUAGAUAUGAGUUGGAGCCUUUCAGGGUGAGGAGGAAGGAUUUUUUUCUGCUCUCUACUGUAACAAAACUUCUCAAAGAAUUUAUCCCAAAGCUUUCACAUGAAGCUGAUGGUCUUAUUUUUCAGGGUUGGGAUGAUCCUUAUGUUCCUCGCACUCAUGAGGGUCUCUUGAAGUGGAAAUACCCUGAAAUGAACUCGGUCGACUUUCUCUUUGAGGUGGUUGACGAUCGUGAAUUGCUUUAUCUACAUGAACGAGGGAAGAAGAAACUAAUGGAGGGGAGUAGAGUUGUUUUCCCAGAUGGUUCUGAUCCAUCAGCUUACUCCGGUAAAAUAAUAGAGUGCUCUUUUGACACUGAUAACCAAAAAUGGAUAUGGAUGAGGACCAGAGUCGACAAAGGAACUCCGAAUGACUACAAUACGUACAGAAAGGUGAUGAGAAGUAUUACCGACAACAUCACUGAAGA
RNAcentral lists this unclassified non-coding RNA (1995 nucleotides) under Hevea brasiliensis (rubber tree). Lineage: Eukaryota; Viridiplantae; Streptophyta; Magnoliopsida; Malpighiales; Euphorbiaceae. The record is from RNAcentral.